GAUGAACGCUGGCGGCGUGCCUAAUACAUGCAAGUCGAGCGAACAGAUAAGGAGCUUGCUCCUUUGACGUUAGCGGCGGACGGGUGAGUAACACGUGGGUAACCUACCUAUAAGACUGGGAUAACUUCGGGAAACCGGAGCUAAUACCGGAUAACAUUUGGAACCGCAUGGUUCUAAAGUGAAAGAUGGUUUUGCUAUCACUUAUAGAUGGACCCGCGCCGUAUUAGCUAGUUGGUAAGGUAACGGCUUACCAAGGCGACGAUACGUAGCCGACCUGAGAGAGUGGUAGGCCACACUAGAAGUGAGACACGGUCCUGACUCCUGAGGGAGGCAGCAGUAGGGAAUCUGCCGCAAAGGGCGGGAGCCUUACGGAGCAACGCCGCGUGAGUGAUGGAGGGUUUCGGCUCGUAAAACUCGGUUAUUAGGGAAGAACAAACGUGUAAGUAACUGUGCACGGCUUGACGGUACCUAAUCAGAAAGCAACGGCUAACUACGUG
RNAcentral lists this ribosomal RNA (497 nucleotides) under uncultured bacterium. RNAcentral's name for it is "partial 16S ribosomal RNA". It matches the Rfam family "Bacterial small subunit ribosomal RNA", at positions 28 to 507 of the family's 1533-position model. The record is from RNAcentral.